UACGUAGGGGCCAAGCGUUGUCCGGAUUUAUUGGGCGUAAAGAGCUCGUAGGCGGUUGGGUAAGUCGGGUGUGAAAACUCCAGGCUCAACUUGGAGAUGCCACCCGAUACUGCUCUGACUUGAGUUCGGUAGGGGAGUGGGGAAUUCCUGGUGUAGCGAUGAAAUGCGCAGAUAUCAGGAGGAACACCGGUGGCGAAGGCAGCUCGCUGGGACGUUACUGACGCUGAGACGCGAAAGCGUGGGGAGCAAACAGG
RNAcentral lists this ribosomal RNA (254 nucleotides) under uncultured bacterium. Its description in RNAcentral is "partial 16S ribosomal RNA". It matches the Rfam family "Bacterial small subunit ribosomal RNA", at positions 524 to 776 of the family's 1533-position model. The record is from RNAcentral.